RNAcentral lists this unclassified non-coding RNA (292 nucleotides) under uncultured Sebacinaceae. RNAcentral's name for it is "sequence contains ITS2". Lineage: Eukaryota; Fungi; Basidiomycota; Agaricomycetes; Sebacinales; Sebacinaceae. The record is from RNAcentral.
AACGCACCUUGCACCCUUUGGCAUUCCGAAGGGUAUGCUCGUUUGAGUGUCAUUGUACUCUCACACUCCCGGUCUUUGGAUUGGGAGCGGUGGACUUGGGUGUUGCUGCUUGACCGUGGCUCACCUCAAAUGGAUUCGUGCACCUCCUGGUUGGACAUAGUACGGCGUGAUAAGUGUCUUCGCCGGCACCUCAGUAGAGGGUGGCCGAUCGGGAGCUCUGUGCUUCAAACCGUCUUCGGACAACAAUUGACAACUUGACCUCAAAUCGAGUAGGACUACCCGCUGAACUUAA